This 1292-nucleotide ribosomal RNA is filed under the name uncultured Microgenomates group bacterium. RNAcentral's name for it is "bacterial SSU rRNA". It matches the Rfam family "Bacterial small subunit ribosomal RNA". The record is from RNAcentral.
AGAGUUUGAUUAUGGCUCAGGAUAACGUUGGCUGUGUGCCUAAGGUAUGCAAGUCGAACGAUCUGUAUCGAUAGUGGCAAACGGGUGAGUAACACGUAGAUAACUUGCCUCGAAGUCGGGAAUAGCUCGUCGAAAGACGGGGUAAUAUCCGAUGCUCUAACCACUUCUGUGUUUUAGAGUAAAGCUUUUGUGCUUCGAGAGAGGUCUGCGUCCUAUCAGCUAGUUGGUAAGGUAAUGGCUUACCAAGGCUAAGACGGGUAGCUGGUGUGAGAGCACGGUCAGCCACCAUGGAACUGAGACACGGUCUAUACUCCUACGGGAGGCAGCAAUUAGGAAUCUUGCGCAAUGGGGGCAACCCUGACGCAGCGACACAGCGUGGAGGAGGUUCGUUGACCACUUUUCUAGGGGACCCUAGGAAUAAGGGGUGACAAACUCGUGCCAGCAGUAGCGGUAAUACGAGUGCCCCAAGCGUUAUCCGGAUUUAUUGGGCGUAAAGGGUCUGUAGGUGGUUUGUUAAGUUUCUCGUUAAACUCCAGGGCUUAACCUUGGAAAAGCGGGAAAAACUGGCAAACUAGAGGAUGUUAGAGGCUGAUGGAACACUGUGAAGGGGUGGAAUCCGUUGAUAUCAAGUGGAACACCGAAAGCGAAAGCAAUCAGCUGGGACGUCCUGACACUGAAAGACGAAAGCGUGGGGAGAGAAAAGGAUUAGAUACCCUUGUAUUCCACGCCUUAAACGAUGAAUACUAGCUAUUGCAAGGUCGACUGCAGUGGCGAAGCUAACGCGUUAAGUAUUCCGCCUGGGAAGUACGGCCGCAAGGCUAAAACUCAAAGGAAUAGACGGGGACCUACACAAGCGGUGGAUCACGUGGCUUAAUUCGAUAAUAAGCGAGGAACCUUACCAGGGCAAAGGUAAUGAAAGCAUCGAAAGAUUUGCCACAACAUUACCAGGUGCUGCAUGGUUGUCGUCAGCAGGUGGCUUGAGUUGCUCCCUUAAAUGGGGUAACCUGCGCAACCCUUGCUCUAUGUUUCAUGUGUCAUAGAGGACUGCCUGGGACAACCAGGAGGAAGGUGAGGAUGACGCCAAAUCAGCAUGGCCCUAUGUCCUGGGCUGCACACGUGAUACAAUGGGAUUGACAACGGGAAGCGAAAGAGUAAUCUGGAGCAAUCCUUCAAACAAUUCCUCAAUUCGGAUUGAGGUCUGAAACUCGACCUCAUGAAGUCGGAAUCGCUAGUAACCGCAGAUCAGCCAUGCUGCGGUGAAUAUGUCCCUGGGUCUUGCACACACCCCCGUC